UCAUCAGUUAGGGAUAAUCCUUUCCUGUUACCUCUACCGAGGUAGCAAGAUGAAUAUGAUGAGAUGGUUUGGAUGAUCUAUAUGAUUACUCUAUGGGAGUGGGGAUCAUGACAACCCCCCAUAACCCCAUCUCUGAU
Molecule: small nucleolar RNA, 137 nt
Filed under: Lytechinus variegatus (green sea urchin)
Lineage: Eukaryota; Metazoa; Echinodermata; Echinoidea; Temnopleuroida; Toxopneustidae
Description: U8 small nucleolar RNA
Rfam family: U8 small nucleolar RNA
About the family: U8 is a member of the C/D class of snoRNA which contain the C (UGAUGA) and D (CUGA) box motifs. U8 is the RNA component of a small complex (the U8 snoRNP) which is required for accumulation of mature large subunit ribosomal RNAs, 5.8S and 28S rRNAs.
Source: RNAcentral